GUGAACUCGAGGUUCACAAGCAUAACUCACGUGUAAGUCUCAUAGGAAACCAUGAUUUCUAGCUUCAUUGUGAGCUAGAUCCAUGUCCUCUAAACUCAUUAGGUUCCAUUCGAACCAUUAAAAGUAACAAAAACCUCCCAAACCCUAGAAAUCACAAAUUAGGGUUGAGGCUUACCUCUAAGGUUUGCUCCAAAGCAAGCCCUAGCUUGAGGAAGAGGAGGGAGAGAAGCUUCUUCUUCUUCUCCUUGAUCUUCUCCCUCCUUUCCUUCUUCUCUUCUUCUUCUUUCUCUCCUUCUUUUCUUCUUCUCCUUCUUCUACGGUCAGAGAGAGAGAGCUAAGUGAGAGGGAGAGAGAGAGGCUAAGAGUGAGAGCGAGGCUGAGAGAGAGAGGUAUUAUAACCCUCUAAUGUAACAAAAUCCCAAAAAGCCCCUCUAUUUUCUAUUUUUCCAACUUGACCUGCAGUUUCGGGUCCCUUGUACCGGUACACGGGUUCUUGUACCGGUACAAGGCCUGGCAGACAGCCCAACCCGAGGCUCGGUUUCUCGGUUUCGCAGGGCUUGUACCGGUACAAGGCCCCCUUGUACCGGUACAAGGCCUGGCCGCCCCCCAACCCGAGAGAUGCGAUGGUUGUACCGGUACAGCCAUCACCCUUAUACCGGUACAACAGCUCCAGAAUGCUGUUUUCACUUCUCUUCAGCUCUACUUCGCGCCGAUCGAUGUCAAAACCAUUCCAACUCCUUUGGAACUCAUUUUGCUCUUCCAAACUUGUUGGAAUACCGAAUGGAACUAGUCCAAACCGUUCAAUUACUCACUUUGGUCCAUUUGGCCAAAGUUAGCCAAAAUCCUUCGAGUUCAAUAUCUCACAUUCUCCACCACUUAAAAGGAGUUUCGUCCCCGAAACAACCAAAUCAUAACUUGAACAAAACUCUUACCUCAAUCCUCGAACAAGUGAGAAUGAUUCGCUUUCAUCUGGUCCUCGAGUCCCCAAGUGGCUUCGCGAUCGUCGUGAUUGCGCCACCGAACCUUAACAUAGAAAAUCUUUCGAUUCCUUAACUUACGCACCUCUCGAGCCAAAAUCUCUACCGGAAACUCUUCAUAGCUCAUAUCCUCUUGAAGCUCUGGCGACUCAUAAACUAGAACAUGCUCGGGAUCAUGCACGUACUUGCGAAGAUUGGAGACGUGGAAGACAUUGUGCACACCCGCAUGCUUCGGGGGCAAUGCAAGUCGGUACGCCACCGUCCUAAUUCGCUCCAAGAUCUCGUAGGGGCCAAUAUAACGAGGACUUAGCUUCCCUCGCACCCCAAACCUCUUCACGCCUCGCAUCGGCGAAACCUUCAAAAACACGCGUUCACCCACCGCGAACUCCAAAUCUCUACGGCGUUUAUCUGAAUAGCUCUUCUGUCGCGACUGCGCCGUGAGCAACCUUUUGCGAGCAAGGUGGACUUUCUCCUCCGCCUCCUGCAAAACAUUCGGACCGAACUCAACUCGCUCGCCUACAUCACUCCAAUAAAUGGGAGAUCGACACUUCUGCCCGUAGAGAGCCUCGAACGGUGCUAUUCCUACGCUGGCAUGAUAACUGUUGUUGUAGGCGAACUCGGCCAUCGGCAGAUGCUUACACCAACCGCCCUUGUAGUCAAUAACACACGCUCGCAGCAUAUCCUCCAGAGUCUGAAUAGUCUUCUCAGUCUGCCCAUCUGUCUGGGGAUGAAAUGUAGUGCUAAACUCGAGACGCGUACCAAGGGCACCCUGCAGGUUCCUCCAGAAAUGUGAGGUAAACUUGGGGUCUCGAUCUGAUACAAUCGACUUCGGUACCCCGUGAAGCCUCACCUGAGCCAAUCUCUCGCCUGCCCAAGUGCCAUGGAUCGGUAUGAAAUGUGCCGACUUCGUCAAGCGAUCCACAAUCACCCAAAUCGCAUCGUGGCCACCCGCCGAACGAGGUAAGCCGACGACGAAAUCCAUCGAUACAUCUUCCCACUUCCAGACGGGAAUAGGUAAACCUUGAAGCUUCCCCGCUGGAAAUCGACGCUCCGCUUUAACCUGUUGGCAUACCAAGCACUUCGCCACAAAGCGCCCAAUAUCCGCUUUUAGUCCCGGCCACCAAUAGAGCAACUUCAACUCGUGGAAUAUCUUGGUGCCGCUUGGGUGAUCAGCAUAAGGAGACCAAUGUGACUCCUGCAAUACAAGCUUGCGAAGCUCCUCGUCCGUAGGUACACACCACCGGUUCUUAAACCGAAGUGCACCAUCAGCAUCCAUAGCGAAGUCUCCACCUCGGCCAUCAACUAUGCUCUGGCGCACCUUUUGGAGAAAUGGGUCCGCCAGCUGCAAACUUUUAAUCUUGUCCAAUAGGGUCGGCUGGACCACAAGCGCCAACAAUAUCGUCGGAACCUCAGGAGCUACAACCUCAAGAUCCAUCCUUCCCAUUUGCAACCGUAGGGACGUCUGAUCGGUAACUCACAACGCUAGAUUUUCAACAGACUUCCGGCUAAGCGCAUCGGCGACUACAUUCGCCUUCCCGGGGUGGUAGAGAAUAUCAACAUCGUAAUCCUUAAGCAACUCCAACCACCGCCGCUGUCGCAGAUUCAGCUCCUUCUGGGUGAACAAAUAUUUUAAGCUUUUGUGGUCGGUGUAGAUCUCGCAAUGAGCACCAUAUAGAUAAUGCCUCCAGAGCUUCAAGGCAAAGAUCACCGCCGCCAACUCUAAAUCGUGAAUGGGGUAAUUCUUUUCAUAGCUCUUAAGCUGACGGGAUGCAUAGGCAAUAACCUUCCCGCCCUGCAUCAACACACACCCCAAACCCAGAUAAGAAGCAUCACUGUAGACGGCAUAGUCCUGCCCCUGCACCGACAAGGCAAGCACCGGAGUCGAAGUUAAUCUUUGCUUCAACUCUUUAAAACUCCGGUCGCACUCGUCGCUCCAAACGAACUUGGUGCCCUUCUGAGUCAAGCGGGUAAGUGGAAUCACAAUCUUAGAGAACUCCUCCACGAAUCGUCGAUAAUAACCUGCUAGGCUCACAAAGCUACGAACCUCAGCUACACUCGUCGGGCGCGGCCAAUUCUCAAUAGCUUCAACUUUUCUCAGGUCAACUGAAACACCACCCUCGGAAAUAACAUGCCCGAGAAAUGCAACCUCCCUGAGCCAGAAGUCGCACUUCUUCAGCUUUGCGUACAACUUCUUCUCCCGAAGAAUCUGAAGUACCGUGCGCAAAUGCUCCGCGUGCUCCUCGUCGCUACGCGAAUAUACCAAAAUGUCGUUUAUGAAGACUACGACAAAUCGGUCCAAGCACUCCUGGAACACUCAGUUCAUCAAGCUCAUGAAUGCUGCCGGGGCAUUUGUGAGCCCAAACGGCAUCACCGUGAACUCAUAGUGUCCAUAACGCGUGCGAAACGCCGUCUUCUGAAUAUCUUCCGGCUUGAUCUUUAACUGAUGAUAGUCGGACUGAAGGUCAAUCUUAGAAUACACUCGCGACCUCUGCAACUGAUCAAACAGGUCGUCGAUACGGGGUAGCGGGUACCUGUUCUUCACCGUGACCUUGUUCAACUCGCGGUAAUCCACGCAGAGUCGAAAAGAUCCAUCCUUCUUUCGCACGAAUAAUACCGGGGCACUCCACGGCGAAACGCUCGACCUAAUGAAUUCCUUAUCGAGGAGAUCCUGCAAUUGAUCUCUAAACUCCCUCAGCUCGGCCGGCGCCAUGUGAUACGGGGCCUUAGAAAUCGGUGCUGUCUCGGGAACCAAGUCAAUCAUGAACUCGAUCUCCCGGUCCGGCGGCAUACCCGGUAGCUCCGCGGGAAACACGUCGGGGAACUCUCGCACAACCGCCAACUCUUCGAGGGUCGGAACUACUCGAUCAAUCUCCACAACGGUCGCCAAAAAGGCUGCGCAACCGCUGUUCACAAACUUCCUCGCUCUAGUCGCCGAUACCGUCGCGGCGAAGCACGAGCUCUUGCAAGCUCGAUAGGUGAACUCAACCUGACCCGGCUCUCGAAAUGUGAUAACACGAGUCGGGCAAUCGAUCGAUACAUAGUACUUUGAGAGCCAAUCCAUGCCCAAGAUUACGUCGAACUCCUUCAACCUUUGGAGCACCAACAAGUCGAUCGGCAUAACCCAGUCAUUCACUUGCACUGGACAUGCCAAACAUCGCUCCCUAACCAUAAAGGAUCGCCCGGGGCCCUCAACAUGCCACACGUGCUCCCCUAGACGAUACUCGAUAUCGUGUGCUUGUGCGAAGGAUCGACUAAUAAAGGAGUGUGAUGCGCCGGUAUCAAACAAAGCUCUAGCUCGAACACCUUUAACCAAAAUUAUACCUGCCACAACGUUGCGCUCGCCGGCCUCAGAAGGCUCCUCAACAUGCACGGGUGCAGCAUACAUCCUCCCGCUCGGCGCUGAUCGUGCAGGCUCUGGUUGGCGUGGCGCCGCUGCUCGCCCAGUAGAUGCUGCAGGAGGGGGCAAGGCAUAACGAGCUGGAACCGCCGGGGCCGAUGCAGUCGACAUAGCGAACGAAGCUCCUCCGUGAGGACAGUCACGGAUGACAUGUCCCGCUUGCCCGCACUUGAAGCACCUCCCUCGGCGCUGCUCAUAAACACCCGGCCGGUGGUCUCCACCGCAAAAGACACAUCGCUGAGCACCGCGACCCUUGGGCUGAGAGCGUGGAUACUUCGGGGGCCUCUUGGAGCUAGACUGACCGCCCGAACCACCGCCCUGUCUCUUCUUACCCUUGUCCUUGUCAAGCGCCUCACGGUCCUCACGCUCGCAAGCGUUCCCGUGCUCAACCCAUAGUGCGCGGUCUAAAACCUCCGCCAAAGAGUGGAACUUGAAGGCAUGCACCAAUCUGAAAACUCCGGGCUGUAGUCCCCGAACAAAACAAUCCGCCCGGUCCUGCUCUGUCGCCGCCACGUUCGGGACGCAACUCAGGAGAUGGGUGAACUCCCGCUCGUACUCUCGAACCGUGCGGUUGCCUUGCUUGAGCUUGCGAAAAUCUUCCCGCAUCUUCCUCUUAUCACUGUCGGGGAAGUACUCGGCGAACAUCAGCUUGCGGAACUCCGCCCAAUCGAUCGGGGGAAGCUCCGAGGAUCGGUCCUUCUUAACCCUCCUCCACCAAGUCCUGGCCCGCUUCUCGAAGCAAUGAGCGGCCAAGUUCACCUUGUCCUUCUCCAAGGUGAAGAUGUCCUCAAAUAGAGUCUCCAUAGCUGUCAGCCAAGACUCCACCGUCGCUGGAUCCACCACCUCUCCGUCGAAAGUAAGCGGGUGAAACUUCGUGAACCUCGUGAGUGCCACAUAGCCGCGCUCACGCUCCGCCUCCUCAGCCGCCACCACGAGUGUAGGAGAACUCGAACUCUCCGGAGGAAUAUCCACCGGUGGGGGUUGCGCCGCCACCGGAACCGAUACGCCACCCACACCCUCGGCCGCAUCAGGGGCACGAACCGAAGGCGCAGGCGGACCAUGGCCUAGACCUGCCGCCGAAGCCGCCGCCAUAGCCUGCUGCUCCAGCAGCUCCUGAAUCCUAUCUAACCGCCCAGUGAGCGCCGCAACCUGCGCUCGCAGCUCCUGCACCUUAGUAGGCCCAACUGGCCCUGGCACCACUGGAGGCACGGCUGGCCCGGGCACCUCUCGAGGUGGUGCCGGAGCGGUCCUACGCACAUAGCGUCUCUUUGGUGCCAUAGCUCCUGAAAUGCAAACAGUUGGUUAAUUACUUAACUCAACAACAUCGUCGUAAACGCGAUACAUAACGAUUAAACAACAUCAAUCAGGCGGUAGCUUACAAGUGUCUUAAUUCUCGACUUUCGGCAUCGUGUUCUCGGCUGCCAACACAAUCACCUGAAGCCAAAAAUUAAUACCACUUGGAUCAUCUCUAGUCAUAACUAGAGUAACAACACCAACUCCAAACCCAAUCAAUUAGCUUCCGCCGCGUCAUAGGUUCACGUCGCACUCACGCACCUAUAACCUUAGGGUUAACCAACCUAGGGUCUCCUAGGUCAUCCUAGACUCUCCUUUUUGCUUGCUCUUAACCUCGCUCUAAUACCACAACUGUCACGCCCCGACCGCACGACCCGAAAACGGUAACUAUUUGGUCCGGUUCGAGGGCGGCGGCGUGAGGCCGAACGGACAGAGUCUCCUCUAUCCGCCCAAGGCUAACCAACGAGAUUGUGUACAACAAGUCCCCGGGAAAAAACAACUUGAUUUCAUACACAAUCAAACAACGAUAAUACAAAAAGUGUUAAAACCAUCGAGAGCAAGCGAUACUAGUAAAAGCAUACAAGUAUAUAAAAGAGAGAAACUUAACUAUUUGAACUAUGAAAUUUAAAGCAUUAAAUACAACUUGCAUUAAACUUCAUACAUUGUUUUUCAAUCUUUUCCAAAAUGUAAAUACAUCAACAUCUACUCUCAAAAUAUAAAGACAGGGUGGAGCUAAUGCAAGUAGAAAGUAAGCUAUCAACUAAUACAGCUAGGGCGCCAAGCCCUUGCCGCGAUCAUCUCGCUAGGUCGGGGCACUCGAACUAGCACCUGCAACAACGGGUGUGAGAACUACGAAUAGUUCCCAGUGGGUUCUGCCGCCGACUCCACCGAUCUACCCACUAGGUCGAAGCAGGCAUAGAGAGAUAUAUGCAAUAUAUAUAUAUAAAGCUAAACCAACUAAGAGCAGGUAUGAUAACUGAGCAAGUAAGGAACGUAAGCAAGUAGGUAUAAUCAUGAAUAUCUAGCUAUGCCUCAAUCUGAUAUCAUGCAUGCAUGAACGAUAAUAAAGCUAUGUGAUAAGCUGCUAUGAACAGCAACAACAAGUAAGCUAAUAUGAACAACCAUAGGGAAGCUACUAUAGACAACAAGUAAUGAGUGUGACUCAAUAAGUUACCCAAUCUCAUGGUGAACUCGAGGUUCACAAGCAUAACUCACGUGUAAGUCUCAUAUGGAAAGUCUCACUGAACUACUCCCGAGACCGCCUGCGGACAGCACACAGACCGUCCAGACAGCACACUGACUAUCCCUCUAGUGACCAACCUCCGGAGUGCACAGCUUGCGGGGAGCGACCCCUCCAAGCGCAGACAGGCUAUGUGAGCACGAUCAACUCACGAACAACAGCAACCUACCCUCUAAGGGUAAUCUCAUCAUGGAAUCAAGGUGUUCUUGUACCCAAUCUCAUAGUGUCUCAACUACACUAAGGUUCUCAUAUCAAAUUAUCAACAAUCAUAUGUCCUUCAUCAUAGUUUUCUAUAACUAGAUGCCACUUGUCAUAGUUUUCUAAACUAGAUGCCACUCGUCAUUUAGACUCAUUUUCAACACUAGUUACAUCAUACUAGUUCUUUAAUCUCAUAAACAUUAACC
RNAcentral lists this long non-coding RNA (7311 nucleotides) under Ananas comosus (pineapple). Its description in RNAcentral is "long non-coding RNA (ACOM_LNC023402)". The record is from RNAcentral. Lineage: Eukaryota; Viridiplantae; Streptophyta; Magnoliopsida; Poales; Bromeliaceae.